Long non-coding RNA from Herpailurus yagouaroundi (jaguarundi), 370 nucleotides. RefSeq lists it as uncharacterized. Lineage: Eukaryota; Metazoa; Chordata; Mammalia; Carnivora; Felidae. The transcript has 2 exons. The record is from RefSeq and is a predicted model, not a curated record.
GAACUGCCGGCUGCGGUGGUUUCUGGUUGCCAUACACAGAGGCAAACAAAGCCGAGGCCACGCGGGGUAGCCCCGCCCAGCGCCAGGCUCCGGCUCCGGUUUCCCACCCCUCACCGGGUGGCGCCAGGUCACCCCGGGAUGUUUUCCUUCGCAGAAACUUUGUAUGGACCAAACAAGACAGCCACAACCUGGAUGCAGCCCAGUGACUGUGGGUGUAUGACUGCUGCUCCCAACUUUGUAAACGUCUCAAUGUAAGGGUGACUUAUGUGACCCUGGGCUCCUGGGUCUCACUCAGCCCAGGGGUUGUGAACAGCAAGUACUUAUAUAUGCCUUCUGAAUAAAAGAGUGACUAAUGGUCAUUUAUCCCCUA